RNAcentral lists this ribosomal RNA (1856 nucleotides) under activated sludge metagenome. RNAcentral's name for it is "bacterial LSU rRNA". It matches the Rfam family "Bacterial large subunit ribosomal RNA", at positions 504 to 2317 of the family's 2925-position model. The record is from RNAcentral.
UGAGGGAAAGGUGAAAAGCACCCCGAGAGGGGAGUGAAAUAGUACCUGAAACCGCACGCCUACAAUCAGUGGAAGGACUAUGGCCUUCGGGCAAAGUCUGACUGCGUGCCUUUUGCAUAAUGAGCCGGCGACUUACUCUGUGUGGCAAGGUUAAGGGCUUCUGGUCCGAAGCCGAAGCGAAAGCGAGUCUUAAUAGGGCGCACAGUUGCAUGGAGUAAACCCGAAUCCGAGUGAUCUAUCCAUGGCCAGGGUGAAAUUUCUGUAACAGGAAAUGGAGGCCCCAACCAAUAUCGGUUGAAAACGAUUUGGAUGAGCUGUGGAUAGGGGCGAAAGACCAAUCAAACUCGGUGAUAGCUGGUUCUCCUCGAAAUAGCUUUAGGGCUAGCGUCACGUGGUAGCACACGGGGGUAGAGCACUGGAUGGGCUAGGGGUCUCACCCGAUUACCGAACCCAACCAAACUCCGAAUACCGUGUGUGGAAUCGUGGCAGUCAGAAUAUGGGGGAUAAGCUCCGUAUUCAAAAGGGAAACAGCCCAGACCGCCAGUUAAGGUCCCUAAAUUACGCUAAGUGUGAAACGAUGUGCGAUUACAUAAACAACCAGGAUGUUGGCUUAGAAGCAGCCAUUCAUUUAAAGAGUGCGUAAUAGCUCACUGGUCGAGCGAUCGUGCGCGGAAAAUGUAACGGGGCUAAGCGUAAUACCGAAGCUGCGGGUUGCACACUAGUUGUGCAGCGGUAGAGGAGCGUUCCAUUCAGGAGUGAAGCGUGACCGUGAGGACGCGUGGACCGUAUGGAAGUGAACAUGCCGGCAUGAGUAACGAUAAGGAAGGUGAGAAUCCUUCCCGCCGAAAGUCUAAGGUUUCCCGGGCCAGGUGAAUCCGCCCGGGGUUAGUCGGAUCCUAAGUUAAGGCCGAAAGGCGUAGACGAUGGGAAACAGGCACAAAGAUUCCUGUACCACCAGGUAACCGUUUUGAGUGAUGGGGUGACGCAGGAGGAUAAGACAGCUGUCUGCUGGAAUAGACAGUCUAAGCGUGUGGGCCGCAAUCCAGGAAAAUCCGGGUUGCACAAGGCUGAGGCGUUAAGGGACGUGAAUCCUUUCGAGGUGAAGCGAAUUGUCUGAUUCCACACUGCCAAGAAAAACCUCUAGCAAGGUUACAGGUGACCGUACCGCAAACCAACACAGGUAGACGAGAUGAGUAUUCUAAGGCGCUCGGGUGAUCCACCCUUAAGGAACUCGACCAAAUAGCCCCGUAUCUUCGGAAGAAGGGGUGCUGCUGGUGGUGAUGGCCCUCGCGGCCUCAGCUGCUGGCAGCGACAGUAAAGUGGCUCGGGCGACUGUUUACUAAAAACAUAGGUCUCUGCUAAGUCGUAAGACGAUGUAUAGGGACUGACGCCUGCCCAAUGCCGGAAGGUUAACGGGAGGAGUCAAGGCGUAAGCCGGCAGCUCUGAACCGAAGCCCCGGUUAAUGGCGGCCGUAACUAUAACGGUCCUAAGGUAGCGAAAUUCCUUGUCGGGUAAGUUCCGACCUGCACGAAUGGCGUAACGAUCCGAGCAUUGUCUCGAGGGUGGGCCCGGUGAAAUUGUACUACGAGUGAAGAUGCUCGUUACCCGCAUAAGGACGGAGAGACCCCGUGCACCUUUACUACAGCUUGAUAUUGGAUUUAGUGGCCUCUUGUAUAGGAUAGGUGGGAGACGUUGAGACUGGAGCGCCAGCUUCGGUGGAGUCACCCUUGGAAUACCACCCUGGUUGUCAUUGAAUUCUAACUCCGAACCCGUGAAUCCGGGCGGAGGACAGUGUCUGGUGGGUAGUUUGACUGGGGCGGUCGCCUCCUAAAGAGUAACGGAGGCGCCCAAAGGU